UUUCUUUUCACGUGACCUUUCACUUUUUACUUUCGCGUGUUUGGUUUCCUCAAAAGUCUUUCACCUUUUAGUUCUGCUUGGCAGAGUCAAUGAGAAUGAGUCAUCGCCAUAUAUGGGUGUACCGAACCCGAUUCCGAACCGAGACCAAAUAUAAUUUCGAUUUCUGCCGAUAGGUUUUUGUUUGGCCACGUUGAUCGAACCUCGAUUUGGUUUGGAAAUGCCGGUUUGGUUAGUUACGUUUUACCAGGACCUGAUUCUUACUAAUUUUUAAACCAUUAAUUGAUGUACAGUGUAUAUAUAAAAAAAAAAAUACAUUUGCACGUUUUUGUACUGUAGUAUAACUUUGAUACAAAAAAAUACAACUUUCAAAUGGAAAACUAAACUUGC
Molecule: long non-coding RNA, 387 nt
Filed under: Capsella rubella
Lineage: Eukaryota; Viridiplantae; Streptophyta; Magnoliopsida; Brassicales; Brassicaceae
Description: long non-coding RNA (CRUB_LNC001404)
Source: RNAcentral